The sequence is a transfer RNA, 86 nucleotides long. It matches the Rfam family "tRNA". Rfam says of the family: Transfer RNA (tRNA) molecules are approximately 80 nucleotides in length.
GCCGGGGUGGCGGAAUGGUUUACGCGGAAGACUUAAAAUCUUUGACCUUCACAGGUUUGUGGGUUCGAGUCCCACCCCCGGCACUA